Molecule: ribosomal RNA, 530 nt
Filed under: uncultured bacterium
Lineage: Bacteria
Description: bacterial SSU rRNA
Rfam family: Bacterial small subunit ribosomal RNA
Source: RNAcentral
AAUAGAUACCCAGGUAGUCCACGCCGUAAACGAUGAAUGCUAGGUGUUAGGGGUUUCGAUACCCUUGGUGCCGAAGUUAACACAUUAAGCAUUCCGCCUGGGGAGUACGGUCGCAAGACUGAAACUCAAAGGAAUUGACGGGGACCCGCACAAGCAGUGGAGUAUGUGGUUUAAUUCGAAGCAACGCGAAGAACCUUACCAGGUCUUGACAUCCCUCUGACCGGUCUAGAGAUAGGCCUUCCCUUCGGGGCAGAGGAGACAGGUGGUGCAUGGUUGUCGUCAGCUCGUGUCGUGAGAUGUUGGGUUAAGUCCCGCAACGAGCGCAACCCUUGAUCUUAGUUGCCAGCAGGUUGAGCUGGGCACUCUAGGAUGACUGCCGGUGACAAACCGGAGGAAGGUGGGGAUGACGUCAAAUCAUCAUGCCCCUUAUGACCUGGGCUACACACGUACUACAAUGGCCGAUACAACGGGAAGCGAAGUCGCGAGAUGGAGCCAAUCCUAUCAAAGUCGGUCUCAGUUCGGAUUGCAGG